AACCUCUCAGGGUCACACCUAGAAAGUUUCCAGUACUCCUCCAGUCUCGACUACAGGAGGGAGAGUCAAGCAGAGGUAUAUUCAUUCCAUUCCUAGCUUGGGCAAUGGCUAGCUAGUGGAAGACAAUCUGCUACAAGU
RNAcentral lists this small nucleolar RNA (138 nucleotides) under Ornithorhynchus anatinus (platypus). The record is from RNAcentral. Lineage: Eukaryota; Metazoa; Chordata; Mammalia; Monotremata; Ornithorhynchidae.